UGGGGUUUAGCUUAGUGGUAUGGCACUUGCCUAGCAUGCAUGAGGCCCUGGUUUCAACCCUGGUACCACAC
RNAcentral lists this transfer RNA (71 nucleotides) under Cavia porcellus (domestic guinea pig). It matches the Rfam family "tRNA". Rfam says of the family: Transfer RNA (tRNA) molecules are approximately 80 nucleotides in length. Their secondary structure includes four short double-helical elements and three loops (D, anti-codon, and T loops). Lineage: Eukaryota; Metazoa; Chordata; Mammalia; Rodentia; Caviidae. The record is from Rfam by way of RNAcentral.